GCGGGAGUGGCGGAAUUGGCAGACGCGCUACUUUGAGGUGGUAGUGAGGCAACUCGUGUGGGUUCGAGUCCCACCUCUCGCA
This 82-nucleotide transfer RNA is filed under the name Verrucomicrobiota bacterium. Its description in RNAcentral is "Verrucomicrobia bacterium (activated sludge metagenome) tRNA-Leu". It matches the Rfam family "tRNA". Rfam says of the family: Transfer RNA (tRNA) molecules are approximately 80 nucleotides in length. Their secondary structure includes four short double-helical elements and three loops (D, anti-codon, and T loops). Lineage: Bacteria; Pseudomonadati; Verrucomicrobiota. The record is from RNAcentral.